GGCUGGUCAGAAGGUAGUGAGUUAUCUCAGUUGACUGUUCACAGUCAGUCAUAGAUAGAACUUCCUGGUCCUACUAUUUCUCCCUUUCUCACGAUUGCAUUUGACUUGUCUAAA
RNAcentral lists this Y RNA (114 nucleotides) under Aotus nancymaae (Ma's night monkey). Its description in RNAcentral is "Y RNA (ENSANAG00000008165.1)". It matches the Rfam family "Y RNA". Rfam says of the family: Y RNAs are components of the Ro ribonucleoprotein particle (Ro RNP), in association with Ro60 and La proteins. The record is from Rfam by way of RNAcentral. Lineage: Eukaryota; Metazoa; Chordata; Mammalia; Primates; Aotidae.